CACUGCUGCAAUCUCCCCUUGAUAGAGCCAGCGGGCAGUAGUCCCAGCGCAGGAGGCCCGGCGGUCAGAGCUCACACUGUCAGCCGCCAGCGCUGCGCUGCACCUCCUCCUGCCUCGUAACCAAUGGCAACCCGGCGCCAACACAUCACGCUGCGCGCUGCCGCUCUCUCGUCCCCGCGCCGCGUGCUGCCGCUCUCUCCUACUGUACCCAGCCUUUACUCACUGUGCGCUGAGCGCUCUCUCCUCCUGAAGCUGCUGUUUAUGGGCACCAUUAGGAGUCACAAACGCUCCUUCCUGUCCUAGGAUGCCAGCCAGUGGGGCAAAGACUUAAGUGGAUGCCGUAUACAGUACCAGUUCCCCAAAAGAGCUAUUUUUCAGAGGGAAUACCGAAUUAUAGGAAACCUACUGGAGAGAUGAAAGUCAGCUCCCGCUUCAUGUUACAAAGCAGUAGAACAGGCAGCCAGAAUGCAGUAGGACAGUAUGCAGUGCAAGCAGAGACACAGGAGUAGCAGGAUUCAUGAGCUGUCGAUGUAGCUUUCCGACCAGAGGAGAGAUAGGAAGGUCCCGCAAUUAACUGGAAGCAUCCACCAUCUUCACCUGGCUUUGGUCAACACCUCUCCUCCCCCCUUCCUCACCACCUGUGUGCUGGUCCCACAGAGACUGUGAUGUUUGGAACCAUAAGAAGCUCCCUUUAAUACAAAAUAAACAACAAACAUCA
Long non-coding RNA from Pseudophryne corroboree (corroboree frog), 718 nucleotides. RefSeq lists it as uncharacterized. The record is from RefSeq and is a predicted model, not a curated record. Lineage: Eukaryota; Metazoa; Chordata; Amphibia; Anura; Myobatrachidae. The transcript is spliced from 4 exons.